GAUGAACGCUAGCUAUAGGCUUAACACAUGCAAGUCGAGGGGAAACGGCAUAGAAAGCUUGCUUUUUAUGGACGUCGACCGGCGCACGGGUGAGUAUCGCGUAUCCAACCUGCCCUUUACUUGGAUAACCCAUUGAAAGACGGACUAAUACCCAAUAUAAUCCUUUGAUGGCAUCUGACGAGGAUGAAAGAUUUAUCGGUAUUGGAUGGGGAUGCGUCUGAUUAGCUUGUUGGUGAGGUAACGGCUCACCAAGGCUUCGAUCAGUAGGGGUUCUGAGAGGAAGGUCCCCCACAUUGGAACUGAGACACGGUCCAAACUCCUACGGGAGGCAGCAGUGAGGAAUAUAGGUCAAUGGACGAGAGUCUGAACCAGCCAAGUAGCGUGCAGGAUGACGGCCCUAUGGGUUGUAAACUGCUUUUGUUGGGGAAUAACUGACAUUACGUGUAAUGUUUUGCAUGUACCCUUCGAAUAAGGACCGGCUAAUUCC
RNAcentral lists this ribosomal RNA (487 nucleotides) under uncultured Prevotella sp. RNAcentral's name for it is "bacterial SSU rRNA". It matches the Rfam family "Bacterial small subunit ribosomal RNA", at positions 28 to 504 of the family's 1533-position model. Lineage: Bacteria; Pseudomonadati; Bacteroidota; Bacteroidia; Bacteroidales; Prevotellaceae. The record is from RNAcentral.